GGGCGGAUGUCGGAACUGGUAGACGAGAUAGACUUAGGAUCUAUUGGGGUUUCCCCCCGUGAGGGUUCGAGUCCCUCUUCGCCCA
Molecule: transfer RNA, 85 nt
Filed under: Candidatus Poribacteria bacterium
Lineage: Bacteria; Candidatus Poribacteria
Description: tRNA-Leu
Rfam family: tRNA
About the family: Transfer RNA (tRNA) molecules are approximately 80 nucleotides in length. Their secondary structure includes four short double-helical elements and three loops (D, anti-codon, and T loops).
Source: RNAcentral